This 410-nucleotide unclassified non-coding RNA is filed under the name fungal sp. RNAcentral's name for it is "partial internal transcribed spacer region". The stretch from base 1 to 46 matches the Rfam family "Eukaryotic small subunit ribosomal RNA", at positions 1786 to 1831 of the family's 1831-position model. Lineage: Eukaryota; Fungi. The record is from RNAcentral.
AAGUCGUAACAAGGUUUCCGUAGGUGAACCUGCGGAAGGAUCAUUACAAUACGUUUCCGCACGUAAACCAAACGUUGAACUGUACAAGCGUCCGAUAGGAAGUGGGGUUCAUGGGCCGGCGGCUUUGAGGUGGAUACACCACACAAAUCAAACUUCGGUUUGAAGGUGAUCAAAAGUGCCUCGGUCGGUUCUUUUUUCCGGUGUUGCCCGAGUUUCGCACUCGCAAAAACGGAAAAGCCCUUUUCCUAGUUCGCGUAUUUAUCCAUUCACACUUUUGCAUCGCCUUUUUUUCUUCUAACCCCUUUCACCUUUUACUUCAAAAUUGAUGAACUGAUUUCGAGCUGCUUAACCGCGCUCGAUCAUUUUACGAAACGUAAGAACAACUUUUAACAACGGAUCUCUUGGCUCUC